UUGAACGCUGGCGGCAUGCUUUACACAUGCAAGUCGAACGGUAACAGGGAGCUUGCUCCGCUGACGAGUGGCGAACGGGUGAGUAAUGCAUCGGAACGUACCCAGUCGUGGGGGAUAACGUAGCGAAAGUUACGCUAAUACCGCAUACGUCCUGAGGGAGAAAGCGGGGGACCGUAAGGCCUCGCGCGAUUGGAGCGGCCGAUAUCAGAUUAGCUAGUUGGUGGGGUAAAAGCUCACCAAGGCGACGAUCUGUAGCUGGUCUGAGAGGACGACCAGCCACACUGGAACUGAGACACGGUCCAGACUCCUACGGGAGGCAGCAGUGGGGAAUUUUGGACAAUGGGCGCAAGCCUGAUCCAGCAAUGCCGCGUGCAGGAUGAAGGCCUUCGGGUUGUAAACUGCUUUUGUACGGAACGAAACGGUUCUCUUUAAUAAAGAGGGCUAAUGACGGUACCGUAAGAAUAAGCACCGGCUAACUACGU
RNAcentral lists this ribosomal RNA (482 nucleotides) under uncultured bacterium. RNAcentral describes it as "bacterial SSU rRNA". It matches the Rfam family "Bacterial small subunit ribosomal RNA", at positions 30 to 506 of the family's 1533-position model. The record is from RNAcentral.